Molecule: RNA transcript, 1870 nt
Organism: Sapajus apella (tufted capuchin)
Lineage: Eukaryota; Metazoa; Chordata; Mammalia; Primates; Cebidae
Gene name: mitochondrial import inner membrane translocase subunit TIM14 pseudogene
Exons: 1
Source: RefSeq, a predicted model, not a curated record
GAAAAAAAAAAAAAUAUUAUGCUGAGGUUGCUAAGAUUUAAGGUAAGAAACAAAUCUCCCCAUUCGUGAAAUUGUGAAAAAAAGAAAAAAAAAACUCAUGCUAGUUUUGCUGUUGCACCUCUAACUGCAAAAGUUGUGGCCACAGUGCAUCGUAAAUGCUUAGUUAAGAUGGAAAAGGCAUUAAAUUUGCAGAUGGAAGAAAUGAACAGAAACAUGUCAGGUUCAGUAUUUUCUGUUUUCAAGAAUCCACUGAGGGCCUUGGAACAUACUCCCUGAAGGUAAGGGUAAACUACUGUAUGAGGUAUCUAGAGUAGCCACAUUCACAGAAACAGAAAGCAGAAGGGUGGUUGUUGCUAGGGGCUGGGAGAAGGGGGAAAUGAGGAAUUGUUAAAUGGGUAUGGAGUGUCAGUUUUAGUUCUGGAGAUUGGUUGCAGGGCAAUAUGAAUGUACUUAACAUUACUGACUCAUACACUUAAAAGUAGUUAAGAUUGUGGCAGUCGCAGGUGCAUCGCUCUCUGGUUCAGGCGUGUGAGUGUCGGCCACGAUCUCUGCGCUGGGAUGAGCCGUGCUCCCAGUGGAAGCAAGGGAACCCAGCCGCAGCAGCCAUGGCCAGUACAGUGGUAGCAGUUGGACUGACCAUCGCAGCUGCAGGAUUUACAGGUGGUUAUGUUUUGCAAGCCAUGGAGCAUAUGGAGCCUCAAGUAAAACAAGUUUUUCAAAGUCUACCAAAAUCUGCCUUCAGUGGUGGCUUUUACAGAGGUGGGUCUGAACCCAAAAUGACAAAAUGGGCAGCAACAUUAAUACUAGGUGUAAGCCCUACUGCCAAUAAAGGGAAAAUAAGAGAUGCUCAUUGACGAAUUAUGCUUUUAAAUCAUCCUGACAAAGGAGGAUCUCCUUAUAUAGCAGCCAAAAUCAAUGAAGCUAAAGAUCUACUAGAAGGUCAAGCUAAAAAAUGAAGUAAAUAUAUCAUGAAUUUUAAGUUCAUACUAGUUUAUGUAUAUGAGUAUUUUUAUAAUAAAAUGCCUCAGAGCUACAGUUUUAAAAAAUGAUUUAGCACAAGCUAAAUCUCAAAGCCUUGGUAUAAUUUUGUUGUUUAAACAUAGGGAUUUUAAAUUAGACUAUAGUUUAGAAUAUUUGCAUAUUAAUUAUGGGCAAACACACACCAUUUGAAGAGGAAUAUUGUUCAUUCCUCGUUUAGCAGAUGAUUUGGGACCUAUGUCUACUCUUCAAGGCAAAGUGAAGAUGACAGUCCUUGCUCUCAGGGAGCCCCCACUUUAAUGGGAGGCCAAUAAACUGGUAAUUGGGCUAUGUGAUAAAUAGUAUGAUAGAAAUUCGCUCAAGCUGUUCAAGUACAGAGUCUUAUGAGGUAAAAAAGGCUGUUCCAGGUAUAGUCAACUGGCCCAGCAACUUGGAUAGUUGGAACCUUGUAUUUAAAAGUGAAUUUAGCCACAACUUAGACCUAAGAAAUUGACCUAGGGGUGUGGGUGGGUGUGUAUGCAUUCUAUUUACAUACAUAUAUUUAUAAACAGAAUAUUUAUUUCAUACAUUAAAAACAGUAUGAUAAAGAUUUUAGAGUACGGGUCUGGCACAAUCACAGCUCAUUGCAACCGCAACCUCCUGGGCUCAAGCAAUCCUCCCACCUCAGCCUCCCAAAGUGCUUGGAUUACAGGCAUGAGAAGUAUUUACUUUGUAUUCAGCUAGCCCCUAAAAGGUACUGACCAUUUAUAAAUUAUUCCUUCAGUUGACUAUUUCUUGAGGAGCUUCUGUAAUUGUUAUGAUUAAGCUUAAACACUGUUAGCAAAACUGAAAUAUCAAAAUAUUCAAUUUGGACUAUUAAGAAUUUAUACACUAAUAAAUUUAAAUGAUGUUU